RNAcentral lists this ribosomal RNA (434 nucleotides) under uncultured bacterium. Its description in RNAcentral is "partial 16S ribosomal RNA". It matches the Rfam family "Bacterial small subunit ribosomal RNA", at positions 28 to 507 of the family's 1533-position model. The record is from RNAcentral.
GAUGAACGCUGGCGGUAUGCUUAACACAUGCAAGUCGAACGGACUCUUCGGAGUUAGUGGCGGACGGGUGAGUAACGCGUGAGAAUCUGGCUUUGGGUUCGGGACAACCACUGGAAACGGUGGCUAAUACCGGAUGUGCCGAGAGGUAAAAGAGAAAUUGCCUGAAGAUGAGCUCGCGUCUGAUUAGCUAGUUGGUGAGGUAAAGGCUCACCAAGGCAGCGAUCAGUAGCUGGUCUGAGAGGAUGACCAGCCACACUGGGACUGAGACACGGCCCAGACUCCUCGGGGAGGAAGCGGUGGGAAAUUUCCCGCAAUGGGGGAAGGCUGGACGGAGAAUUCCGGGGGGGGGAAAGAAGGUUUUGGGGUUGAAACCUCUUUUCUUAGGGAAGAACAAAAUGACGGUACCUAAGGAAUCAGCAUCGGCUAACUCCGUG